GUUGAAUAUAGUGUUUUAA
Molecule: small RNA, 19 nt
Filed under: Caenorhabditis elegans
Lineage: Eukaryota; Metazoa; Nematoda; Chromadorea; Rhabditida; Rhabditidae
Description: Unclassified non-coding RNA Y46H3C.9
Source: RNAcentral